This 664-nucleotide long non-coding RNA is filed under the name Dromaius novaehollandiae (emu). RNAcentral describes it as "lncRNA (ENSDNVG00000016199.1)". Lineage: Eukaryota; Metazoa; Chordata; Aves; Casuariiformes; Dromaiidae. The record is from RNAcentral.
CGUCCUGCUCGGCGGCGCCCGACGCCCUCCGGGGCCGGAGCUGCCCCGGCUGCCCCGGGCCCUGCUCCCUUGGGGAGGGGGGACGGGCCCUGGCGGCCAGCACCGGCCCGGACCGGCCGGGAUCCGCCCCGUCGGCAGGCCCCGGCCCCCGCGGCGUCGGCACCGGCACCCGGUAGCAGUGGGUUAGCGAGGUGCGCUGAGAAUUUUGACUUAACCAUAAGGUGGAUGGAAAGUGAUACGUUGUUACGGAAACCAGGAGACUGAAGAGUGCUAGUUCAUAAGAUGGUUCCAUGAUCAUAAACACCCAGAAGAAGUUGAAAACUGAACUUUCUCUGCGUAAUUAGUAGCUUGGUCUUGGAAAGUGAAGAUAAGAGAUUCAAUCACUCUUAAGCUGAAUAGUUUCUGUGGUAUAUAGUUAGAGUCUAACAAAAUGUUUAUCAUUGCCAUCAUAUUGUGGUCAUUUUCUUGUCUGCAGCACAUUUGCUGAGUCUCCCUAGGUUUAACUGGAGUUCGAAUGAGUGUCUUCCUAUUCCAAGUUUAUAGACUGCUCAGCAGGAAAGAGACAUUUUUGCCUUUGAGCAAAUAUUUUUGAAAAUGCAUAGGCAGCUAAAGUGAAAAGCUGGGGAACUUUUAGAAUAAACAUGGCACUAAAUGGGUUUAGACA